UGGUGUGGGGGCUCUGUAGCCGCGAGCCGUUUUCUUUUAUGCCAGACGUCUUGCUUCCCGGAAUUUACGCCUUUGUUCCAGUGAUUCCGAUUCCAGACGACAGACCUAAGUUACUGUUGGAAUCGGAAUAGCGCUUACUGGGGCGGGGUCUUCCCAUGCUUUCCAUCCGGUCUUUGCUUUCAAGUCUCCUUCUCUGUUCGUUGCCUGCUGGCACAGAAUAUGCAGCAGCAUUUAGCAGCGUUCCAGAAUCCUGUUUCUUUAAGUGACUCGACUGGCCUUUCCAUAAUCGGGUGAAGUUGUUUGAUGUGAUAUUUGUAAUAGGCAUAUUUUAGUGGUUGAAGUUGAAGCAUUGCUGGCUACGUGGUAAAUGCCCGAAUUUAUAUUUGGUGUCACAGAGUAUAUUCCAUCUGGCUGUGACUUGGAGUAAACUUGAGAGUUGCAGAAUCAUUAAGGAAAAUGAGAGGGGCGGUGAGGGGGGAGUGAGUUGGCUGUCUUGACUAAACCAUUGAUGUGUCAAACAAUCGGAGGCUCUUCGUGCUUGGGGUGGGAAUGUGGCAUGAUUGGCUCACAGUGGUUUUUCAAGACCUCAGCAGAAGCAGUAGUCGGAGGGAGAUGGUCGGUUUCUUCUGUUUUCAACCCGAUGGAAUCAAGUCAAGUUCUCGUGUUUUGCUUGACGCUAGAAUUUACAGGGAAAUGUUUCGCCGGUCUUGGGCCUAAGGACUUCUAAUUUGGCCUUUAUAGAGGUUUGAUGUAUGGGAGUGAUC
Non-coding RNA from Myodes glareolus (Bank vole), 764 nucleotides. NCBI's taxonomy places the organism in Eukaryota, Metazoa, Chordata, Mammalia, Rodentia, Cricetidae. The record is from RefSeq and is a predicted model, not a curated record.